AUUGAACGCUGGCGGCAGGCCUAACACAUGCAAGUCGAGCGGAUGAAGGGAGCUUGCUCCUGGAUUCAGCGGCGGACGGGUGAGUAAUUCCUAGGAAUCUGCCUGGUAGUGGGGGAUAACGUCCGGAAACGGGCGCUAAUACCGCAUACGUCCUGAGGGAGAAAGAGGGGGAUCUUCGGACCUCACGCUAUCAGAUGAGCCUAGGUCGGAUUAGCUAGUUGGUGGGGUAAAGGCCUACCAAGGCGACGAUCCGUAACUGGUCUGAGAGGAUGAUCAGUCACACUGGAACUGAGACACGGUCCAGACUCCUACGGGAGGCAGCAGUGGGGAAUAUUGGACAAUGGGCGAAAGCCUGAUCCAGCCAUGCCGCGUGUGUGAAGAAGGUCUUCGGAUUGUAAAGCACUUUAAGUUGGGAGGAAGGGCAGUAAGUUAAUACCUUGCUGUUUUGACGUUACCAACAGAAUAAGCACCGGCUAACUUCGUG
Molecule: ribosomal RNA, 484 nt
Filed under: uncultured bacterium
Lineage: Bacteria
Description: partial 16S ribosomal RNA
Rfam family: Bacterial small subunit ribosomal RNA
Source: RNAcentral